RNAcentral lists this ribosomal RNA (1004 nucleotides) under Salmonella enterica subsp. enterica. Its description in RNAcentral is "bacterial LSU rRNA". It matches the Rfam family "Bacterial large subunit ribosomal RNA", at positions 454 to 1376 of the family's 2925-position model. The record is from RNAcentral. Lineage: Bacteria; Pseudomonadati; Pseudomonadota; Gammaproteobacteria; Enterobacterales; Enterobacteriaceae.
CAUCCUCCAAGGCUAAAUACUCCUGACUGACCGAUAGUGAACCAGUACCGUGAGGGAAAGGCGAAAAGAACCCCGGCGAGGGGAGUGAAAAAGAACCUGAAACCGUGUACGUACAAGCAGUGGGAGCACCCUUUGGGGUGUGACUGCGUACCUUUUGUAUAAUGGGUCAGCGACUUAUAUUCUGUAGCAAGGUUAACCGUAUAGGGGAGCCGUAGGGAAACCGAGUCUUAACCGGGCGUUAAGUUGCAGGGUAUAGACCCGAAACCCGGUGAUCUAGCCAUGGGCAGGUUGAAGGUUGGGUAACACUAACUGGAGGACCGAACCGACUAAUGUUGAAAAAUUAGCGGAUGACCUGUGGCUGGGGGUGAAAGGCCAAUCAAACCGGGAGAUAGCUGGUUCUCCCCGAAAGCUAUUUAGGUAGCGCCUCGUGAAUUCAUCUCCGGGGGUAGAGCACUGUUUCGGCUAGGGGGCCAUCCCGGCUUACCAACCCGAUGCAAACUGCGAAUACCGGAGAAUGUUAUCACGGGAGACACACGGCGGGUGCUAACGUCCGUCGUGAAGAGGGAAACAACCCAGACCGCCAGCUAAGGUCCCAAAGUCAUGGUUAAGUGGGAAACGAUGUGGGAAGGCCCAGACAGCCAGGAUGUUGGCUUAGAAGCAGCCAUCAUUUAAAGAAAGCGUAAUAGCUCACUGGUCGAGUCGGCCUGCGCGGAAGAUGUAACGGGGCUAAACCAUGCACCGAAGCUGCGGCAGCGAACGUAUCACUUAAAGCGAUUCAGCGGGUUACGAUUGACGGAGCGAAGCGACGUCAAAGCGUAUACAAAGUCGAGUCGGUUUAAGGAUACGUUCGUUGGGUAGGGGAGCGUUCUGUAAGCCCGUGAAGGUGGCCUGUGAGGGUUGCUGGAGGUAUCAGAAGUGCGAAUGCUGACAUAAGUAACGAUAAAGCGGGUGAAAAGCCCGCUCGCCGGAAGACCAAGGGUUCCUGUCCAACGUUAAUCGGGGCA